RNAcentral lists this ribosomal RNA (309 nucleotides) under uncultured bacterium. RNAcentral describes it as "bacterial SSU rRNA". It matches the Rfam family "Bacterial small subunit ribosomal RNA", at positions 775 to 1081 of the family's 1533-position model. The record is from RNAcentral.
AGUCAAUAGAUACCCAGGUAGUCCACGCCGUAAACGAUGAGUACUAGGUGUAGGAGGUAUCGACUCCUUCUGUGCCGCAGUUAACACAAUAAGUACUCCGCCUGGGAAGUACGGUCGCAAGAUUAAAACUCAAAGGAAUUGACGGGGGCCCGCACAAGCAGCGGAGCAUGUGGUUUAAUUCGAAGCAACGCGAAGAACCUUACCUAGACUUGACAUCUCCUGAAUAGUGUAGAGAUACAUGAAGCCCUUCGGGGCAGGAAGACAGGUGGUGCAUGGUUGUCGUCAGCUCGUGUCGUGAGAUGUUGGGUU